This 228-nucleotide long non-coding RNA is filed under the name Mytilus galloprovincialis (Mediterranean mussel). Lineage: Eukaryota; Metazoa; Mollusca; Bivalvia; Mytilida; Mytilidae. The record is from RNAcentral.
AUUUUAUUGAAAGGAAGUGUCCAUUGUUAUAAAAAUUCCUAUUUCACCAUUAAAAUAUUUGAUAUUCAGGUUCAUUUUCCCAGUUUUAUGUCUGACCCUGCAGCUGGUGUUAAGGAGUUGGAGAGACAGAAGGCUUUAGGAAGGAUUCGUUAUUACGGAGUAUCAAACUAUGGCCCUAAGAAUAUGAAGCAAUUACUGGAGGCUGGUGGAAAACCUGUCACUAACCAG